GUAGUCCACGCCGUAAACGAUGUACACUAGACUGGUGCGGUUUUGACGCCGUAUCAGUCGCAGUAAAAACGAUAAGUGUACCGCCUGGGGAGUACGGUCGCAAGGCUAAAACUCAAAUGAAUUGACGGGGGCUCACACAAGCGGUGGAGCAUGUUGCUUAAUUCGAGGCAACGCGAAGAACCUUACCUGGGCUUGACAUGUACGUAUUAACCCUAUGAAAGUAGGGCCACAGUCGCAAGACCGGAACGUGCACAGGUGCUGCAUGGCUGUCGUCAGCUCGUGCUGUGAAGUGUCGGGUUAAGUCCCUUAACGAGCGCAACCCCUGUCGUUAGUUGCUCACGCGUCAUGGCGAGUACUCUAGCGAGACUGCCGGUGUCAAACCGGA
Molecule: ribosomal RNA, 385 nt
Filed under: uncultured bacterium
Lineage: Bacteria
Description: bacterial SSU rRNA
Rfam family: Bacterial small subunit ribosomal RNA
Source: RNAcentral